UUUUUUUUUUUUUUUUUGGACGGUUAUUUAUGUUUUUACUAUAUUUAAAUAGUAAAGAAGCCAAAGUUCUAGUUAAAGCAUUAUACCAUAAGACAAAAGCAAAUUAUCUCCAUGUAACUUAUCUAUGUAACUUUCUAAGUAGACCUGUCCUCUGUGGCUGUAAUGAUAAAUCUCAUUAUUUAAUAUGUGACAAAUAAAUGUGGCUAUCAUAGGUGGACAUACUGAUAAACAGAGACGUAUGCCAUGGGGCCUCCUUAAAAGAUAAGCUGCAUUUUUUGCACCUUGAAGUGCCGACAGACAGACAUAAUGUUUCUGGAUGAGGUGUAGUUGUAUCUAUCAGGAUUUCAUAUUUACAAAGAGAAACCCUUUAAUCUUUUCAAUGAUGUUUCAUUCGAGAUACUUCACUGACCUUUGGAUAUCCCAAGACAGUACAUAAUAAGUUCAUGACCUAUUAAGUAUGCAAGAAGUCUUGUAUCUCAGUUAUGUUUACCAGUCCCAACCCUGCCCUUCUUCUAUGUAAUAUACUGUGUAAUAAAUAUUAUUUGAUGAUGACAGUUUUAGAUGCUCCAAACUUUCCCACCCAACUUAGAGUCAAAAGAGUAAAUUAAAAACUGCUUGGGGAGUUCCCAUUGUGGUUCAGUGGAAAUGAAUCUGACUAGUAUCUAUGAGGAUGUGGGUUUUAUCACUGGCCUUGCUCAGUGAGUCAGGGAUCUGGCAUUGCUGUAGCUAUGGUAUAGGCCAGCAGCUAGAGCUACGAUUUGACCCCUAGCCGGGGAACUUCCAUAUGCCAGGAGUGUGGCCCUAAAAAGCAAAACAGCAAUAACAACAAAAAACUGCCUGACCUCAGAUUUGCAGUGUGAAAUAAUGCCUAUUUCAUGUUCAAAGCUCUGGAGAAACAGCAUGUCAAAUGGGUAUAUUUAUUAGUUUCAAAAUUUCACUUUUUUCCCUCUGGACACUGUUAUUAUUAAUUAUGCUCCAUGAGAACCUAGGUACAAGGCCCUGACAACUCGCUGAUAGUUGCAGUUUAUAUUGAGGUUCAAAGGCUACUCUGGAUGUUAGUCAUCUGGUGAUGUAGUGAAAAUAGUCACUGAUGGGAAAGCCAAAGAGCAUAACCUAGGGACAUGAAGAGUCCUGAUACUUGGUCUUGGUGGAAGGCCAGCAGGCUCCAAGUCCAGAGAUGGGGCAUGAUGACACAACUCAUUGUGGGACUUGGCAUAAACCUGGCUGUGCUUCAUUUUCACUCAGAGAAAAUGAGAGAAAGGAAUCUUCCUCCCCAUAUGUUGUAAAUGAGACACACGUAUUUUAAAUACUUUAAGAUUUCCAUAUGCAAGUAGCUCUAUUUAUUAUUAUUAUUAUUUAUUUAUUUUUUUGUCUUUUUGCCUUUUCUAGGGCUGCACUGGCGGCACAUGGAGGUUCCCAGAAAAGACAAAAAGACAAAAUAAAAAAAAAAAAGGAGCACUCAUCUGAGAGGUGUCAUUGAUUUACAAUUGUUGUGCAUGGCUAUUAACUCAAUGGCUUUUUAAGGAUUUACAUGCAAACGUAUCGAGAUGAUUCUUCAUGCAUGCUAAUACUGAUGUGCCAUACGUGACAAUAGAGUCUAUGAAAGAUGGUUCACAACGUUUCUCCUUUGACAGCAGUGAUCUUAUAAUCAUCUGCAUGAUCUCUGCUCAAGUAAGAUAAUGUGAUUUCAGGGAAAAGACACGGCCAUUGGGCACUACUGGUUGAGGCCUGGCUCUGCUUCUGCAGUGAACAUGGGCCAGAUACAUGGCUUUCCCGAAUCUCCAUUUUCAAGUGGUUAAAUGGUGAUUAUGUAUUUACUUCCAGAGUUGUUGUGAGAAUUAAAUGAGAUUAUGUAUGUUAAAUUUCCGAGUGUUCAAUAUAUGUAAAUUACCUUUCUCCCUGACAUAUCUUAGGGAUAGAUCAUCAAAAAUGCAGAAUACAGAAACAUUCAUGCUCCCCCCUUAAUUUUUAAGCUUAUUAAUUCCCCUUCAAAUAAAAUGACUUAAAAAGUGUAUUGAAUGAUAACAUUGUUAUAAUAAUGAGUGGUUUUUCUUUGUCUAGUCAAGGGACAUAAUCUGAUAUAAAAAGCCUUCAUUAAUAUAUCAUUUCAUAUGAUAUUGAUAGCAGAAUACGGAAAAUUUUUUAAAAAGUGCAGGAGGAAACAACAUAAGGGACUAAGAAGAGUGUCAAAUUCUGUUCUCAGGAAUCUAAAAUCCUCAGCUUCUAUUUUGGAACUCUGAUGGCUUUUCUCCAUGCUGUUAUGGGGAAAAUGGUUUGACUUAAAAGCCAUCGACUCACGGCCAAUGUAGAGAAACAUGGCCAGUACAUUCUUCUCCCAUGGGAUUCACUUAGGGGUGCAGUUCUCAGAGAUCCCAAAAUGCCUUUUCUUAAAUGCAUGGGGGAAAAGCCAGUGACACGGCCAACUGUGGCCUGUGUAAUGCAUCACCCUGCUAAACCAAAUGCUGACUGAUGGAAGAUUUCAAUUUUAGUUGUGGCACUGCUUCCAAGGAUUAAAGGCUCAAGCUGGAAUUGAGUCAAUGACAAAAUGAUUUACUAGGAGGUAAGCUCUGUGAUGGCCAGGACCCUAUCGGUCAUGUUCUCCACAGAAUGCCAUAGAAUAGGUCCUGGAAUACUGCUAAACAUAUAGUAGGUGCCUUAUUUCUGAUUAUGGGUAGGAAAAAAAUGAAAGAAUAAACUAUUUUUAAAAAACUGACUUUCACACUCUGGUGUAUGAAAUUAUAGAAACCAAAAAUGUGUAAUGCCUUUUUAGUUUAUGUUGACCCUAAGGUAAUCUUACCAAAUUCCAUAAAACAUAGCUAACAAUGGCAUAAAAAAAAAUGGAGUGGACUGCUACAUAUUUAAUGCAAUAAAAGAGACAACAUAUAGUGAAAUAGGGUCUAUAAUUUUAAAAACCAGUAAUAGUAAUUAGUGCUCACUGAAUCUACUAGACCACACAAUGGUCUGAAUUGUUUUAUGUAUAUAAUUUCACUAAGCAAUAGUCCUACAUAGAUGUGUGGAUCAAGCAUUGUAGGGUAGUUAAGUGGCUGAGGACAGAUUUAGAGGGUAAACAGCCUGCGUCUAAAUUAGACCCUGGCAUUUAGCUGCCUCUGGGCAAGCUGUUUUACUUCUUGGUUUCUCAGUGUCCUUAUCUGUGAAAAGAUGAAAAUAACAGUGCCUAUCUCACCUGGUUGUUGUGAGGAUUACAUGCAUAAUUGAUCCUAGGUCAGAAUGAGGCAUGUAACAUCUAUCCACCAUCUCUCUGUCUCUCUCUCUGCCUCUUUCUCUUUCUUGUUCUUUUCCUGUCUAUCUGUCUUCCUGUCUGUCUCUCUCACUUGAACAGCACAAUGCCUGGUGCAAAGAAGGAUCUGGGUAAAUUUUAGCUAUCACUGUGUAUUACUUUUAUCUCCUUAUUUUGCAGAUGAGGAAACCGAGGCACUGAGAAGUAACUUGCUCAGGAUCACACAGCAGGUAGGUAUUAAAACAGUUUGGAAUCCAGCCAGUGUAAUGGUAGAGUUUCUGCCAAAGCAUCCUUACUGAAAAUGUAGUUAAUUCACUCUUAGUAGUAAACUGCGCCUAGCAUUUAUUCAAUGAUUUUCAAAUGACACUUUGACACUCUUUGACUAGCACAUCAUUUCAAAGAUUUCUGAUAAAGAAGUACAGGUGUUUCUGGAGUUUUGUUAAAAAAAAACAUGCUAUUAUUAACAGCUGCCUUAUUAAUUUUAAGACUCAACACAUUAGAGAAUGAUUGCUAUUUUCUAUAAUUUAGUUUUCAAAAACUGGUAAUAACUAAAAAUAAACCUCAUCUCAGUGAGAUCAGCUUUAUAUUCACUUGACACUAUAAGUCCCUCAAUGUUCACACCCACCUGAGGUGAUAGGCCCCCACAACAGUUGUAAUUUAGGAUGCAGAUUCCAUAUGGUACAAGGAGGUGGUGGGGUUAUCUUAGUGUCUGUGGAAGAGAUUGAUGCUUUUGAAAACAUCUGAACCACACUUUUAACUAGAAAAAUAAUAAUAAUGUGGAAUGAUAACAUGUAUUACAAACAAUGCAGACUGUAUUUAAGAGUAAAGGAGAAGAUCAUUUGUUUAAAUGUCAAAUUGCCUCUUUAGUCCCAUUCAUGGUAUGAUCAUGAAAAAGACAAAAAAAAUCAACUAAUUUCCAAAUCGCCCCUCAGAGUAGUUUAACUUUUUUGUGUGUGUGUCUUUUUAGGGCCACAGCCACAGCAUAUGGAGGUUCCCAAGCUAGGGGUUGAAUCAGAGCUGUAGCCGACAGCCUAUGCCACAGCCACAGCAAUGCCAGAUCCGAGUCGUGUCUAUUACCUACACCACAGCUCACAGCAAUGUUGGAUCCUUAACCCACUGAGUGAGGCCAGGGAUCGAACCUGUGUCUUCAUGGCUACUAGUCAGAUUCGUUUGCGCUGAGCUACAAUGGGAAGUCCCCAGAGUAGUUUAACUUCGUAAGUUUAAACAGCCUGUGAAAACCUGGCCAAGUGUUUCAAAGAUACUGUUUAUAAAGUGAAAAGUUUAUUUUCUAUUAAAAAUAACAUCCAUCUUCCUUCCUGAAAUCAACUAAAUAGGCUUCUGCACUGUGGGCCAAAGGCUGAAGGGAUUAAAUUUUUGGCUAAUUUAACUGGUCAUUUCAGCACUACAUGCUGCCUCUCCUGCAGGCAUUCCAUAUCAUUGUGUUGUUCCUACAUAGGCCCAGUGAACAUGUGAGAAAAACUACUUUGAAGAAACCUGUGGCGUUCCCAUUGUGGCUCGGUGGAAAUGAACCCGACUAGGAUCCGAGAGGAUGUGGGUUUGAUCCCUGGCCUCACUCAGUGAGUUAAGGAUCCUGCAUUGCCAUGAGCUGUGGUGUAGCCUGGAAGCUGCAGCUCCAAUUUGAUUCCUAGCCUGGGAACUUCCAUGUGCUGCAGGUGUGGCCCUAAAAAAAAAAAAAAAGCAAAACAAACAAAAAAACCCCAUAUAUUUCUACUUGGAAAACUGAGGUGUAUUUUUAUUUUUAUUUUUGUCUUUUUGCCUUUUCUUGAGCCACUCCCAUGGCAUAUGGAAUUUCCCAGGCUAGGGGUCCAAUCGGAGCUGUAGCCCCCGGCCUACGCCACAGCCACAGCAACGCGGGAUCCGAGCCGCGUCUGCGAUCCACACCACAGCUCACGGCAACACCGGAUCCUUAACCCACUGAGCAAGGCCAGGGAUCAAACCAGCAACCUCAUGGUUCCUAGUCGGAUUCGUUAACCAUCUGUGCCACCACGGGAACUCCUAAAAUUGAGAUGUACUUUUGAAGCUUCAAAUCUAUAGUCAAAAUUUCCCUCAAUAAUCUGAAAAGUUAGAAGGCAGCAUACCAAAUGCAGAAUCUCUCUGCAACUGAGGUUAUGAUUUCUUUAUUAUCUGUCAAUCUCUUUAAUUUUUUACUGGCAAAAUAUAUUUUUGAGCCUUUUAUGGAUGUCUACAUGACAGCUACAGGGCUGUGGUGUCAAGAAUGACUCCACUUCUUGAUUUUUAUAAUUAUAAAAUCCUUGAUGCAUUUUGGUCAUGUACAGAGUAAUUAUAGAUUAAUUGUAUUAACACAAAUUUAUGUAGAACAAGAGAAACAGGUUUAUUUAUUUAUUGUUUUACAGUCAAAUCGGAGCUACAGCUGCAACUUCUGCCACAUCCACAGCAGCACUGGAUCCUUAACCCACUGAGCCUGGCUGGGGAUCAAACUUUCAUCCUCACGGAGGCAACAUUGGUUCCUUAACCCGAGGAGCCACAAGAGGAACUCCAAAAUAGAUUUAAUUUUAAUACUCCACAUAAAUUAGUGAAUAACUAUACAUUUUGAAAAUGAGCGAUUCUGUAAGUGGAAAAUAAACCCUUGCUUUGAAAUAAAUCACAUGAUACUGUUAGGUUAUCAGCAAGACAAAACAACUUUUUGUAGGUAUUGUGAUAUUUCCCCCAAAUAUUUCCAGUGCAUCAUGGGACAUAGAGGAAAAAUAAAUAAAGAAAAGAAAGAAAAGGGAAUAAAGAGAAAGAUACUGCCUAGUGGAAGGAAAAAGUACUUAUAGAAACCUACCUUAGUCUAGACACGGGAUAAGCAUCUCAUUUUAGCCUCACGACAACCUUAGAAAACAGGGACUUUGGAAUUCGUGUCCCA
Molecule: long non-coding RNA, 6125 nt
Filed under: Sus scrofa (pig)
Lineage: Eukaryota; Metazoa; Chordata; Mammalia; Artiodactyla; Suidae
Description: lncRNA (ENSSSCG00050021368.1)
Source: RNAcentral